UCGGUCCCUAUCUGCCGUGGGCGCUGGAGAACUGAGGGGGGCUGCUCCUAGUACGAGAGGACCGGAGUGGACGCAUCACUGGUGUUCGGGUUGUCAUGCCAAUGGCACUGCCCGGUAGCUAAAUGCGGAAGAGAUAAGUGCUGAAAGCAUCUAAGCACGAAACUUGCCCCGAGAUGAGUUCUCCCUGACUCCUUGAGAGUCCUGAAGGAACGUUGAAGACGACGACGUUGAUAGGCCGGGUGUGUAAGCGCAGCGAUGCGUUGAGCUAACCGGUACUAAUGAACCGUGAGGCUUAACCUU
This 300-nucleotide ribosomal RNA is filed under the name Escherichia coli. RNAcentral's name for it is "bacterial LSU rRNA". It matches the Rfam family "Bacterial large subunit ribosomal RNA", at positions 2631 to 2925 of the family's 2925-position model. RNAcentral also lists the same sequence under 18 other names. The record is from RNAcentral. Lineage: Bacteria; Pseudomonadati; Pseudomonadota; Gammaproteobacteria; Enterobacterales; Enterobacteriaceae.